AAGGUACCCUGAAAUUAGACUGACCACUGAGAUUGACUAUUCAUUUGGCUGAACACACCUUCAAGCAGGCAUAGCAUACCAACAUAAUAGCUCUUCAUCCCACCUAAUUCUUCAAAGAAGAGAUUCAUCAUUUCCUGAAAAUUCAGUGCUAGAGUGAGCAUUAGACAGCUAGCUGCCCAGAGACCAAUCAGAUAACAGAAGAGAGAGCCUUUUCAUCUCCGGACGACUCUUCAAAGUGGUCGAUGGGAAUUUAGCCACAUGACUUCUUCAUUGAUGGAAGACAUAAAAUUAGAUCUAAGUAUUACUUCACCAGUGGUUUUUGACCCUUGUCAGCUGUGGAGCUGUAAACAUUUUCUGUGGAAGAUCUAGUCUCUUAAGAAAUUUCAUAUGUAUGGAUAGUUCCGUGAAUAUAUUAAGAUUUUUUUCAUAAUCAACUUUCAC
Molecule: long non-coding RNA, 441 nt
Organism: Oxyura jamaicensis (ruddy duck)
Lineage: Eukaryota; Metazoa; Chordata; Aves; Anseriformes; Anatidae
Exons: 3
Source: RefSeq, a predicted model, not a curated record